CCCGCACUGCGCCAUCAAAUGAGUCAAGCGGAAGGACCGGUACCCCUCCGGGAAAACCAGGCACUAACACACGGUGCACCCAACUGAAUUUAAACUCGGGAACAGUGUAGGCAGUGUCAACAAAGCGCGGUGCUGGGUCCCGAGCGUCCAAAGGUCCCUGCCAGCUCCCAGACGCGGCCAAAUCCACAGGAUUCCAAAAGACGGGGUUUCACCGUAUUAGCCAGGAUGGUCUCAAUCUUCUAACCUCGUGAUCUGCCCACCUCGGCCUCGCAAAGCGCUGGGAUUACAGGCGUGAGCCUCCGCGACCGGCCAGAACUAGCUCUUCUUAAGGAUGUGACAGUGAUCUGCACUAGAGCUUCAGGCAGCUAAGGAACUAUUGGGACAUUGCUCAAGCAAGGAACCACCUGGCUCCCUGAGGAGGCUCACUGCAUGCUUUCGUGAAAGGACCCUGUCCCAGCAAUCGAUGUCCACUAUCAGCAGGAAGAAGUUACAGAAGAAUGACCUUCACCCUCCUCUCCUCUUAAAAUUAAGGGCUCUCUUAGCUGGGCAUAGUGGCGCAUGCUUGUAAUCCCAGAUACUUGGGAGGAUGAGGCACGAGAAUCACUUGAGCCCGGGAAGCAGAGGCUGCAGUGAGCCAAGAUCGCACCACCACACUCUAGCCUGGGUGGCAGAGCGAGACCCUGUCUCAAAAAAACAAAACAAAACAAAAAGAUUAAGGGUUCCCUCAAAAUUAGUGGGGGUAAUGUUAGGGAACCAGGAGCCUAGGAGGGCCAGAGUAGCACCAUUUUAAGUUCAGCUCCAUCUUGAGAAAUAGUAAAGCCCAUUCUCUGCUGGUCACGACCCACAUUCAUGGGCUGUUUACAGUGGAAGAAACAGCCUAAAGAUACCUACAAGGACACACUCCUACUACAGCCAAGAGUCCAGAUGUCCAAUACCCAUAACAAUCUCUGUUUUCAAGAUAAUAAUAGUUUUGCUUUGAUGUAUCCACACACUAGAAUGUCAAGGCCAGUUUUCUUUAAAUCAGUAGUCAUACAUUCUGUCAUGCUGUCUGCUCACCCACACGUGGACACAGCUUAGCUUAGCCUUUAUAUAGACAAGAUCUCUAGAGAAGAAAAACAAAAAACAAAGUCGAGGCGUUCCUCCUCUUGCUUUCUGAGGAUGCCCUACUCUAACAGUGUAGUUUCUAAUAACGUUGCUUCUUUCACUGCACUCUGUGACUCGUUUUGAAGUCCCUCCUGCUCGAGAUCCAAGAACGUUCUCUUGGGGUCUGGAUAGAGAUCCCUUUUCCGGUAACACGAUCAUUGAAGGUAUAGAGGUCCCGGACUGCUGGGAAUAUUUUAUAUUUCCUUUUGAAGACUCUCCAUCCUGCCCUUAUUUCUUAAAGCUGAGUUAAUUCCAUUGCACAUAAUUUAUUUCUCCCUCCUGUAUACAUAUCUUCCUUUUGUCCUCUUCUGUCGCUUUUAAUACCGUGUGGAGGUGCAAAACCCCUUCUAGUAAUGGCUGGGGAAAAAAAGUCAUGUAAGUCCCAGGGUGAAAUAAGACUUUCUAAAAAAAAUACUUGAGUCUCAACCUCUAAAACCUUUCAAGUACCCCGAUAUUUCUUUUCAUCUUGUCACAAAUUUUUAUAUUCCUCUUCAUCCUG
This 1642-nucleotide long non-coding RNA is filed under the name Homo sapiens (human). Its description in RNAcentral is "non-protein coding DENND5B-AS1:5". The record is from RNAcentral. Lineage: Eukaryota; Metazoa; Chordata; Mammalia; Primates; Hominidae.